This 306-nucleotide ribosomal RNA is filed under the name uncultured Kribbella sp. Its description in RNAcentral is "bacterial SSU rRNA". It matches the Rfam family "Bacterial small subunit ribosomal RNA", at positions 54 to 354 of the family's 1533-position model. The record is from RNAcentral. Lineage: Bacteria; Bacillati; Actinomycetota; Actinomycetes; Propionibacteriales; Kribbellaceae.
ACCAUCCAAGUCGAGCNGGUAAGGCCCCUUUUCGNGGUCCGGGGAGGCAAACGGGUGAGUAACACGUGAGCAACCUACCCUCAACUUUUUUACAAGCCUCGGAAACAGAAAUCUAAUACCGGAUAUGAUCUCCUGCUUCAUGGUGGGGGGUUGAAAGUUCUGGCGGUUGGGGAUGGGCUCGCGGCCUAUCAGCUUGUUGGUGGGGUAAUGGCCUACCAAGGCGUCGACGGGUAGCCGGCCUGAGAGGGCGACCGGCCACACUGGGACUGAGACACGGCCCAGACUCCUACGGGAGGCAGCAGUGGG